AUGGUGAAGAUCUGCUGCCUUGGGGCUGGCUAUGUAGGUGGCCCAACAAUGGCGGUCAUUGCCCUCAAGUGCCCUGACAUUCAGGUGGUUGUGGUAGAUAUCACCAAGUCCCGGAUUGAUGCCUGGAACAGUGACACACUGCCAAUCUAUGAGCCUGGCCUUGAUGAAGUCGUGAAGCAGUGCCGUGGAAAGAACCUCUUCUUCAGCAAUGACAUUGAGAAGCAUGUUAGCGAGGCUGACAUCAUCUUUGUGUCGGUAAACACCCCAACCAAGACCCGUGGUCUUGGAGCUGGUAAGGCUGCUGAUCUCACUUACUGGGAGAGUGCAGCUCGCAUGAUUGCUGAUGUGGCCAAAUCAGACAAGAUCGUGGUCGAGAAGUCCACUGUUCCAGUCAAGACUGCUGAGGCAAUUGAGAAGAUCUUGACCCACAACAGCAAUGGCAUCAACUUCCAGAUCCUCUCCAACCCAGAGUUCCUUGCUGAGGGUACUGCUAUCCAAGACCUAUUUAACCCUGACCGUGUUCUUAUUGGAGGACGUGAGACCCCAGAAGGUCAGAAGGCUGUUCAGACGCUGAAGGCUGUGUAUGCGCAUUGGGUUCCUGAGGAUCAGAUUCUGACAACCAACUUAUGGUCUGCGGAGCUGUCGAAGCUUGCAGCCAAUGCGUUCUUGGCCCAGAGGAUCUCCUCUGUGAAUGCCAUGUCAGCCCUCUGCGAGGCCACUGGUGCAAAUGUUUCUGAGGUGUCCUAUGCUGUGGGCAAGGACUCUAGGAUUGGCCCAAAGUUUUUGAAUGCCAGUGUUGGAUUUGGAGGCUCUUGCUUCCAGAAGGAUAUCCUCAACCUGGUUUACAUCUGCGAGUGCAAUGGCCUCCCAGAGGUCGCCAACUACUGGAAGCAGGUGAUCAAGAUCAAUGACUACCAGAAGAGCCGGUUUGUGAACCGUGUUGUUUCCUCUAUGUUCAACACGGUUGCGAACAAGAAGAUUGCGGUGCUUGGUUUUGCAUUCAAGAAGGAUACUGGUGACACUAGGGAGACUCCAGCUAUUGAUGUCUGCAAGGGUCUGCUUGGUGACAAGGCUAAGAUCAGCAUUUAUGAUCCUCAGGUGACUGAAGACCAAAUCCAGCGUGACCUUGCGAUGAACAAAUUUGACUGGGACCACCCUGUUCAUCUCCAGCCCAUGAGCCCCACGACUACAAAGCAAGUCUCGGUUACCUGGGAUGCAUAUGAGGCGACCAAGGAUGCCCAUGGCAUCUGCAUCAUGACUGAGUGGGAUGAGUUCAAGACUCUGGACUACAAAAAGAUCUACGACAGCAUGCAGAAGCCCGCCUUUGUUUUUGAUGGUCGCAACGUUGUUGACUCUGAGAAGCUCAGGGAGAUUGGCUUCAUUGUCUACUCCAUUGGCAAGCCACUCGACGGUUGGCUCAAGGACAUGCCUGCUGUGGCUUAA
This 1443-nucleotide ribosomal RNA is filed under the name Triticum aestivum (bread wheat). RNAcentral describes it as "partial small subunit ribosomal RNA". Lineage: Eukaryota; Viridiplantae; Streptophyta; Magnoliopsida; Poales; Poaceae. The record is from RNAcentral.